Molecule: non-coding RNA, 333 nt
Organism: Caenorhabditis elegans
Lineage: Eukaryota; Metazoa; Nematoda; Chromadorea; Rhabditida; Rhabditidae
Source: Ensembl
AAAAUCUGACAUUUUUGCAAACUUUUUUUUUUGUUGCAGCAGUUGGUACAAAGAUAAUUUGGCGAAAUUUCAGUUUUCAGCAAAUUUGGCUCUUUUUUCCAACAUUUUUCAAAUUUUUUUGAGAAGUCUCAUUAUAAAAUUUAGUUGUUUUGAAUUACUUCUAGUAUAGUUAAGCAAAAUGCCCACAAACUCUAAUCUCCCUUAAACAAUAUUCGAAUAAAAAAUAGUUUAGCACUUUGGUUUUUUUUUCGAGUUUUUUUGGGAGAAACUUUUACGAUGUUGCCUUGAGAUUUUGUGUGGGCGCCCAUUUCACAGUAAUUUGAGAUUCUGGGA